Molecule: non-coding RNA, 263 nt
Filed under: Alkalihalophilus pseudofirmus
Lineage: Bacteria; Bacillati; Bacillota; Bacilli; Caryophanales; Bacillaceae
Description: Bacillus pseudofirmus T-box sequence
Rfam family: T-box leader
About the family: Uncharged tRNA acts as the effector for transcription antitermination of genes in the T-box leader family. T-boxes are found upstream of many aminoacyl-tRNA synthetase genes and some amino acid biosynthetic genes usually in Gram-positive bacteria. The anticodon of a specific tRNA base pairs to a specifier sequence within the T-box motif, and the NCCA acceptor tail of the tRNA base pairs to a conserved bulge in the T-box antiterminator hairpin.
Source: RNAcentral
UCAAAAGCGAUGAAAAGAAGAGUAGGCUCAUUACAUUAUCAACAGAGACCUCUGUAGCUGAGAAUGAGGGAUAAGAGUGUGAGUUGAACCAAGGCUUUGAGCUGUGCUCCGGAUUUAUGUAACCCAUAAUGAUGCGGCAUCGGGUUCUCCCGUUACAGAGAUAGGGUAUCGCAGGCGGAAUCUAGCCAUGCCGUACUUGAUAAGGCUUCUUUAGUGAUGAAGAAGUGAAUGGGGUGGCACCGCGACAUAAUCUCGCCCCCAAA